Molecule: non-coding RNA, 74 nt
Organism: Podarcis lilfordi (Lilford's wall lizard)
Lineage: Eukaryota; Metazoa; Chordata; Lepidosauria; Squamata; Lacertidae
Source: the annotation of a GenBank genome assembly
GCUCGGAUAGCUCAGUUGGUAGAGAAUGCCGGCUGUUCAUCUCAGGGUCGUGGGUUCAAGCCCCACGUUGGGCA